UAAAAAUCAAAGGAAUCAAGGGCG
This 24-nucleotide ribosomal RNA is filed under the name Candidatus Phytoplasma sacchari. RNAcentral describes it as "partial 23S ribosomal RNA". The record is from RNAcentral. Lineage: Bacteria; Bacillati; Mycoplasmatota; Mollicutes; Acholeplasmatales; Acholeplasmataceae.